This 464-nucleotide ribosomal RNA is filed under the name Vreelandella stevensii. RNAcentral describes it as "partial 16S ribosomal RNA". It matches the Rfam family "Bacterial small subunit ribosomal RNA", at positions 338 to 795 of the family's 1533-position model. The record is from RNAcentral. Lineage: Bacteria; Pseudomonadati; Pseudomonadota; Gammaproteobacteria; Oceanospirillales; Halomonadaceae.
CCUACGGGUGGCUGCAGUGGGGAAUAUUGGACAAUGGGCGAAAGCCUGAUCCAGCCAUGCCGCGUGUGUGAAGAAGGCCUUCGGGUUGUAAAGCACUUUCAGUGGGGAAGAAAGCCUUGGGGCUAAUACCCUCGAGGAAGGACAUCACCCACAGAAGAAGCACCGGCUAACUCCGUGCCAGCAGCCGCGGUAAUACGGAGGGUGCGAGCGUUAAUCGGAAUUACUGGGCGUAAAGCGCGCGUAGGCGGUCUGAUAAGCCGGUUGUGAAAGCCCCGGGCUCAACCUGGGAACGGCAUCCGGAACUGUCAGGCUAGAGUGCAGGAGAGGAAGGUAGAAUUCCCGGUGUAGCGGUGAAAGGCGUAGAGAUCGGGAGGAAUCCCAGUGGCGAGGGCGGCCUUCUGGACUGCCACUGACGCUGAGGUGCGAAAGCGUGGGUAGCAAACAGGAUUAGAUACCCAGUAGUC